RNAcentral lists this unclassified non-coding RNA (270 nucleotides) under Leptospora rubella. Its description in RNAcentral is "partial internal transcribed spacer region". The stretch from base 1 to 46 matches the Rfam family "Eukaryotic small subunit ribosomal RNA", at positions 1786 to 1831 of the family's 1831-position model. The record is from RNAcentral. Lineage: Eukaryota; Fungi; Ascomycota; Dothideomycetes.
AAGUCGUAACAAGGUUUCCGUAGGUGAACCUGCGGAAGGAUCAUUAUGAAUCAGUAGCUUGCUACUGCGCUGGGGGAGAUGGGAAAGUCCUGGCUGAAAAGUUAGUGUACCGGUACCUGCACCCCUAUCAUACCCUUGUCUUUUAAGCACUUAUGUUUCCUUGGUGGGCUUGCCUGCCGAUAGGACAACUUUUAAACCUUUUAAUAUGUCAAUCAGCGUCUGAAAAAUAAUUAAUAAUUACAACUUUCAACAACGGAUCUCUUGGUUCUG